Molecule: long non-coding RNA, 1383 nt
Organism: Harpia harpyja (harpy eagle)
Lineage: Eukaryota; Metazoa; Chordata; Aves; Accipitriformes; Accipitridae
Exons: 2
Source: RefSeq, a predicted model, not a curated record
GCUCUGCGGUCGCUGUCUUUGGUGCUCGACUCGAGAGCACCAGGUUCCCCCCUUAAUUACUGAUCUCCAGGUAAUUCCCCGUCCCUUGUUGGAUAUCGAGGUGCCUGUGCCAUGGCGUCUUCAAAUUGCCAGUGCUGCUUUAGUCAUGCAGGACUUCAGAAAAGGUCUUUCAUCUGUCUUAGGAUCAUUGAAUCGUUUAGGUUGGAAAAGACCCUUAAGAUGAUCGAGUGCCAUCGUUACCCUGGCGCUGCCAACUCCUCCACUAACCGUGUCCCCAAGCGCCACAUCUACACGUCUUUUAAAUCCCUCCGGGGAUGGUGACUCAACCCCUUCCCUGGGCAGCCUGUUCCAGUGCUCGACAACCCUUUGGGUGAAGGAAUUGUCCCCAAUAUCCCACCUAAACCUCCCCGGGCGCAACUUGAGGCCGUUUCCUCUCGUCCCGUCACUUGGGAGAAGAGCCCGACCCCCACCUCGCCACAACCUCCUUUCAGCCCCUUCUCUUGUCCUCCAGACCCUUCACCAGCUUCGUUGCUCUUCUUUGGAUGCGCUCCAGCACCUCAAGGUCUUUCUUGUAGUGAGGGCCCCAAAACUGAACACAGUAUUCGAGGUGCGGUCUCACCAGUGCCGAGUACAGGGGACCGAUCGCUUCCCCAGUCCUGCUGGCCACAUGAUUUCUGACACAAGCCAGGAUGCCGUUGGCCUUCUCGGCCACCCGGGCACGCUGCCGGCUCACAUUCAGCCGGCUGUCAACCAACACCCCCAGGUCCUUUUCCGCCGGGCAGCUUUCCAAGUGCAGGACCCGGCAUUCAGCCUUGUUGAACCUCAUACUGCUGGCCUCGGCCCAUCGAUCCAGCCUCUCCAGAUCCCUCUGUAGAGGGAUCCCUCCAGCAGAUCAGCGCUCCCGCCAUACUUGGUGUCAUCUGCAAACUUCCCGAGGGUGCGCUCGACCCCCUCAUGCAGACCGUUGAUAAAAGAUAUUAAACAGAACCGGCCCCAGUACUGAGCCCCGGGGAACACCACUGGUGACUGGCCGCUAACUGGAUUUAACUCCAUUCUCCAGCACUCUUUGGGCCUGACCAGCCAGCCAGUUAUUUACCCAGCGAAGAGUACGCCCACCCAAGCCAUGAGCAGCUGGUUUCUGCAGGAGAACGCUGUGGGAAACGGCGUCAAAGGCUUUGCUAAAGUCUAAGCAGACAACAUCCAACAUCUUCUCCUCCUUCCUCUUUGCAAAGUUGUCAAGACGAGCUUUUAAAACACAAGUUUGCAUCCGUUACUGUUGCAGGAAAGCUCUGCCAGGAUUUAUCCGCGUUAGGAAUCACUGCAGAGGAAUUCUCUUGGCAGUUCAUAGCCAAUAAACAUCUAUUUGUGUAUAUGUCAACACCA